UUAUAUAGCUUAUAUUUAGAGUAUAAUAUUGAAGAUAUUAGGGAAAUUUUUAUAAUUUAUAAGUA
This 65-nucleotide transfer RNA is filed under the name Carabidae sp. BMNH 1274270. Its description in RNAcentral is "tRNA-Phe". The record is from RNAcentral. Lineage: Eukaryota; Metazoa; Arthropoda; Insecta; Coleoptera; Carabidae.